Paramuricea clavata is the source of this 748-nucleotide non-coding RNA. Lineage: Eukaryota; Metazoa; Cnidaria; Anthozoa; Malacalcyonacea; Plexauridae. The record is from the annotation of a GenBank genome assembly.
UUUGCAAAUAAAAGGCGCUUAGAUGUGACAAACUCCAGAGGAGUUCCAGGGUCAUGCACCCACAAAUCUAGAAAACUGUGUAAUCUAGUCCCACCAAAAGGGCCUUUUUCUCCAAUGUGCGGGGACAUUCUAUAGAAUUCGGAAGAUUAUAUAUAUGUACUUAUUACAAAAAGCAAAGUUAUUUAGUAUCAUUCACUCCAACUUCCAAGCUCAUAAAGAGAUCUUUGAUGGGAGACUUUGUUCAUUUGAUGAACCUUAAGUAUAAUAUUAGUGCGGACGUUCGAUAAUUUGGCAGUUAUCAUUUCGAUUUAAUUUCAUUCAAAUUAUUCUCAUUCAAAAUGUUUUGAUUAAUACUGUCAAGUGACAAGACGAAUUUUUAGUUUAGUUUUUCUGUUCAUUUUUUGCCCCAUUUUCUCCUUACUUAACAAUUUGUCACAGCAAAUUUUGUCAUUGCACAUUUUACAUUUUAUCACUGCACGCUUUACUUUUAUCACUGCACAAAAUGGUUAUCACUGCACACUAAAAUUAGGUAUGGUACAGAGAAUGAUCUGGUACUUAACCACGCCAAAUGUAAGGAGUUGAUCAUUUCGUUUGCUAAAGAUAGACCGAACUUUCGUCCAUUGUUUGUUGGAGAACAUUGUAUUUCCCGGGUUUCGUCAGCAAAAGUCCUUGGUCUUAAAUUAUUUUCUCGUCUGAUCUUUAUUGGAACUUGCAUAUUGAAUACAUCGCAGCAAAAGCAUCAAAGAUA